Molecule: transfer RNA, 360 nt
Filed under: uncultured Microcystis sp.
Lineage: Bacteria; Bacillati; Cyanobacteriota; Cyanophyceae; Chroococcales; Microcystaceae
Description: partial 16S-23S ribosomal RNA intergenic spacer
Rfam family: tRNA (bases 134-207)
Source: RNAcentral
AAAGGGAGACCUAAUCCAGGUAUAAGACGAAAAAAAAGUAGUCCCUACCAAGAAUCAAUCCCAAAAGGUCGGAACGAGGUAUGAGGCUUUCAAACUAGGUUCUGGGUUCAUAAAAGACCUGAAUCAGGAACAAGGGCUAUUAGCUCAGGUGGUUAGAGCGCACCCCUGAUAAGGGUGAGGUCCCUGGUUCGAGUCCAGGAUGGCCCACCUGCACAGGUGGCAAAAACAAGAGAAGCGAGGAAUCAGCACCUUAUCUUAUAUACAUAUAUAAGAGAGAAUGCUGGCUCUGAGUACAGAGUCCAGAGGAACCUUGAAAACUGCAUAGAGCUAGGUGAAAAAGCCAAAAAAGAAGACCGCAAG